AUAGCAUUAUACCGUGAAACUGCGAAUGGCUCAUUAAAUCAGUUAUCGUUUAUUUGAUAGUACCUUACUACUUGGAUAACCGUGGUAAUUCUAGAGCUAAUACAUGCUGAAAACCCCAACUUCGGGAGGGGUGUAUAUAUUAGAUAAAAAACCAACGCCCUUCGGGGCUUCUUGGUGAUUCAUGAUAUCUUUACGGAUCGCAUGGCCUUGCGCCGGCGACGGUUCAUUCAAAUUUCUGCCCUAUCAACUUUCGAUGGUAAGGUAUUGGCUUACCAUGGUUUCAACGGGUAACGGGGAAU
RNAcentral lists this ribosomal RNA (299 nucleotides) under uncultured fungus. Its description in RNAcentral is "partial 18S ribosomal RNA". It matches the Rfam family "Eukaryotic small subunit ribosomal RNA", at positions 69 to 370 of the family's 1831-position model. The record is from RNAcentral. Lineage: Eukaryota; Fungi.